AAACGUUCAACUUGCGCAUGCAAGCCGCAGAUCGAUCUAAGCCAUGGAACGGGGACUUAGG
This is a non-coding RNA of Prochlorococcus marinus str. MIT 9515, 61 nucleotides long. NCBI's taxonomy places the organism in Bacteria, Bacillati, Cyanobacteriota, Cyanophyceae, Synechococcales, Prochlorococcaceae. The record is from Rfam.